RNAcentral lists this small RNA (233 nucleotides) under Streptococcus pneumoniae. RNAcentral's name for it is "ncRNA of unknown function". Lineage: Bacteria; Bacillati; Bacillota; Bacilli; Lactobacillales; Streptococcaceae. The record is from RNAcentral.
AGAAAGUAGGUUCUUUGUAACCGCUCCAUUAUAAAAUCCUUUCACUCUUCCGGUAUACUAUUAGGAAAAACAUAACUGGAGGAUAUUUUGAGCUCACACCUCAUCGUUCCAGUGGCUGUUCCCCAAGCUCGUGUACUGCCCAAAAAAGUUAGACAUUCUAUUUAGAACGAGGAUUGAGUUCUGUAUUGUACAAGGCUCGGUCCUUUUAGAGUCAGCUUAAGGCUGGCUUUUUC